Molecule: ribosomal RNA, 242 nt
Filed under: uncultured bacterium
Lineage: Bacteria
Description: partial 16S ribosomal RNA
Rfam family: Bacterial small subunit ribosomal RNA
Source: RNAcentral
CGACCGGCGCACGGGUGCGUAACGCGUAUGCAACCUACCUUUAACGGGGGGAGUAACACUGAGAAAUUGGUACUAAUACCCCAUAAUAUCAUAGAAGGCAUCUUUUAUGGUUGAAAAUUCCGAUGGUUAGAGAUGGGCAUGCGUUGUAUUAGCUAGUUGGUGGGGUAACGGCUCACCAAGGCGACGAUACAUAGGGGGACUGAGAGGUUAACCCCCCACACUGGUACUGAGACACGGACCAG